AGUUCGGAUUGUAGUCUGCAACUCGACUACAUGAAGCUGGAAUCGCUAGUAAUCGCGAAUCAGAAUGUCGCGGUGAAUACGUUCCCGGGUCUUGUACACACCGCCCGUCACACCAUGGGAGUCAGUAACGCCCGAAGUCAGUGACCCAACCGGAACCGGAGGGAGCUGCCGAAGGUGGGACCGAUAACUGGGGUGAAGUCGUAACAAGGUACC
This 213-nucleotide ribosomal RNA is filed under the name uncultured bacterium. Its description in RNAcentral is "partial 16S ribosomal RNA". It matches the Rfam family "Bacterial small subunit ribosomal RNA", at positions 1290 to 1500 of the family's 1533-position model. The record is from RNAcentral.